This 629-nucleotide ribosomal RNA is filed under the name uncultured Sphingobacterium sp. Its description in RNAcentral is "bacterial SSU rRNA". It matches the Rfam family "Bacterial small subunit ribosomal RNA", at positions 110 to 737 of the family's 1533-position model. The record is from RNAcentral. Lineage: Bacteria; Pseudomonadati; Bacteroidota; Sphingobacteriia; Sphingobacteriales; Sphingobacteriaceae.
GUAACACGUAUGUAACCUACCUUUAUCAGGGGGAUAGCCUCUCGAAAGAGAGAUUAAGCCCGCAUAAAAUCACACUGUGGCAUCACAGAAUGAUCAAAUAUUUAUAGGAUAAAGAUGGGCAUGCGGAACAUUAGCUAGUUGGCGAGGUAACGGCUCACCAAGGCUACGAUGUUUAGGGGAUCUGAGAGGAUGACCCCCCACACUGGUACUGAGACACGGACCAGACUCCUACGGGAGGCAGCAGUAAGGAAUAUUGGUCAAUGGGCGGAAGCCUGAACCAGCCAUGCCGCGUGCAGGAAGACGGCCCUACGGGUUGUAAACUGCUUUUGUACGGGAAUAAACCCUCCUAUGUAUAGGAGGCUGAAUGUACUGUAAGAAUAAGGAUCGGCUAACUCCGUGCCAGCAGCCGCGGUAAUACGGAGGAUCCAAGCGUUAUCCGGAUUUAUUGGGUUUAAAGGGUGCGUAGGCGGUUUAUUAAGUCAGGGGUGAAAGACGGCAGCUUAACUGUCGCAGUGCCUUUGAUACUGAUGAACUUGAAUGUACUAGAAGUAGGCGGAAUGUGACAAGUAGCGGUGAAAUGCAUAGAUAUGUCACAGAACACCGAUUGCGAAGGCAGCUUACUAUGGUAU